Molecule: long non-coding RNA, 411 nt
Organism: Monopterus albus (swamp eel)
Lineage: Eukaryota; Metazoa; Chordata; Actinopteri; Synbranchiformes; Synbranchidae
Exons: 3
Source: RefSeq, a predicted model, not a curated record
AAAAUGCUUCAACAGUGUGAUAAUGUAAUCACAAGGGCAACUGGCCCAGGAAUCCUGUCUACGGAAAAGGGACAGCAAAUGAGGUGGUUGGCAUGGUAGUUAUGGCAACAAGGUUAUUAGCAUUUGAAGUGAAGGAGUCAUCAGUGUGAGGAGAAGGUGAUGAGACUGGGACAGGGAGAGGGGAGGAGAAACCCAUCAGAGUAUCAACACUGAUCAUGGCAAGGAUAUCAGGUUUAUCUCUCUGGUGUGUGACAAACUGUCAGGGCAGGCAGACACCCAGCCUUCUCCUGGGCUGACCUCAAAAUGACCCAAUGAUGCCAGCUGCGAGAAAGGUCCAGCUUUCCUGAGGAAUGAACAUGGCCCGAGGAUGAACAGUUACAACCUCCUCCUCCCUUCCUGUGAGGACCAAAC